AAGUCGUAACAAGGUUUCCGUAGGUGAACCUGCGGAAGGAUCAUUAAAAAGUCCGGCGCCUCGGCGUCAUCUUUAAAGCCACUGUGAAACUACCCGUUGCUUCGGCGGCAUGGCGGCCCUUGCGGGUCCCUGUCAGUCCGCCAGAGGCUCCAAACCAAACCUUUCUGUAACCGUCGUCAUGAAAUAAAGAUUUAAUUCGUUAAAA
RNAcentral lists this unclassified non-coding RNA (205 nucleotides) under plant metagenome. Its description in RNAcentral is "partial contains small subunit ribosomal RNA and internal transcribed spacer 1". The stretch from base 1 to 46 matches the Rfam family "Eukaryotic small subunit ribosomal RNA", at positions 1786 to 1831 of the family's 1831-position model. The record is from RNAcentral.